AAGAUCACGAGAGUGAGCGCGCACAUCGUAUGGCGUUAGUGUCGUGCCCAUCAGUGACCUCUCGUAUGAGUACUUUAUGUGCCUACGAAGGCUGACCACGGGCUAACGCGGACAAUCUUGAUGCGUAUUCCUGAGAGCCGUAGCCUGAGAACGGCUACCACAUCCAAGGGAAAGGGCAGCAGGCGCGCAAAUUACCCACUCCCGACUCGGGGGAGGGUAGUGACGAAAAAUUAACAAUACAGGAACUCUUUCGGAGGCCCUGUAAUUUGGGAAUGGAGUACACUUUUAAAUCCCUUUUAACGAGGAAUCAUUGGAGGGGCAAGUUCUGGUGCCAGCCAGCGGCGGUUAUUUCCAGCUCCAAUAGCGUAUCUUAAAGUGCUGCAGUUAAAAAAGCUCGUAAGUGGAAUCUCGGAAUUCAGCUGACAGUCGCCCGAGGGAGAUUACGUUGUUCAGGCCUGGCUUUGAGCCCCCUAGAUGUCUUAGUGAAGUUCCCGGAGUUCCAAACGGUAAACUGAAAAAAAAUAAAAAGGUCCAAGAUGCCCCCCCGCCCCCCUUUAUAUUCCUAUUUGAUAAUCAAGUAUGAGGGCCCCCCCGUCCUUACUUGUGGGGGGGGGGGUCCUCCAAAAAAAAG
Molecule: ribosomal RNA, 631 nt
Filed under: Hemichromis fasciatus
Lineage: Eukaryota; Metazoa; Chordata; Actinopteri; Cichliformes; Cichlidae
Description: partial small subunit ribosomal RNA
Rfam family: Eukaryotic small subunit ribosomal RNA
Source: RNAcentral